Molecule: ribosomal RNA, 305 nt
Filed under: uncultured bacterium
Lineage: Bacteria
Description: bacterial SSU rRNA
Rfam family: Bacterial small subunit ribosomal RNA
Source: RNAcentral
ACCUACGGGAGGCAGCAGUGGGGAAUAUUGCACAAUGGGGGGAACCCUGAUGCAGCGACGCCGCGUGGGUGAAGGAGUAUUUCGGUAUGUAAAGCCCUAUCAGCAGGGAAGAACAAUGACGGUACCUGACUAAGAAGCACCGGCUAACUACGUGCCAGCAGCCGCGGUAAUACGUAGGUGGCGAGCGUUAUCCGGAAUGAUUGGGCGUAAAGGGUGCGCAGGCGGUCCUGCAAGUCUGGAGUGAAACGCAUGAGCUCAACUCAUGCAUGGCUUUGGAAACUGGAGGACUUGAGAGCAGGAGAGGG